This 1647-nucleotide long non-coding RNA is filed under the name Nicotiana tabacum (common tobacco). RNAcentral's name for it is "long non-coding RNA (NTAB_LNC017620)". Lineage: Eukaryota; Viridiplantae; Streptophyta; Magnoliopsida; Solanales; Solanaceae. The record is from RNAcentral.
AUUUCAAGUUGUUGGUGUGCUGGUGCUCCAAUUAUCGCAAUUGCGAGCACCAACAUCGCAAUUGCGAUCAUGGCAUAGGGGUAUCUGGUAUCGCAUUUGCGUCACCAUGAUCACGUUUGCAAAAGCCAACUUGGGCUGGGUAAGAUCGCAUUUGCGGAAGGGGCUAACUUCGCAUUUGCGAGGUCUGUGUCCCAAUUGCGAUAUUCCCCUAGGCUGUCAGGCGCCUCAAUUGUGAGUCGUUGUCCGCAUUUGCCAGUGUUCGCAAUUGCGAACCCAGAGUCGCAAUUAUAGUUUACACUUAAUUUGACCCUCCAUAUGUAAAAUUAACUUUCGCAGGCUUCCUGGUCAUUAAAUAGUAAAAUAUAACAUUUUUGCACAUUUUUAACUUUAAUGCAAUUUAUGAUAAUAAUUUCCUUUUGAAUUUCAUGCUUUUUUAUGUCCGAUUCAUGGUAUCAGAUUUAUUUUUGUAUUUUGAAGCGAGCAAGUUCUUAUGAUAUUUUUAGAUUUGUGUGGAUGUUUGGUUGGAGGCCCGAGGACUCGGGUGAGUUUCUGACAUAUUUCGGAAUUGUUUGAAUUCAUUUCAAGUUGUUGGUGUGCUUGUGCUCCAGUUAUCGCAAUUGCGAGCACCAACAUCGCAUUUGCGAUCAUGGCAGAGGGGUUUCUGGUAUCGCAUUUGCGUCACCAUGAUCACGUUUGCGAAAGCAAACUUGGGCUGGGUAAGGUCGCAUUUGCGAAAGGGGCUAACUUCGCAUUUGCGAGGUCUAUGCCGCAAUUGCGACAUUUCCCUAGGCUGUCAGGCGCCUCAAUUGUGAGUGGUUGUCCGCAUUUGCUAGUGUUCGCAAUUGCAAACCCAGAGUCGCAAUUAUUGUUGACACUUAAUUUGACCCUCCAUAUGUAAAAUUAACUUUCGCAGGCUUCCUAGUCAUUAAAUAGUAAAAUAUAACAUUUUUGCACAUUUUUAACUUUAAUGCAAUUUAUGAAAAUAAUUUCCUUUUGAAUUUCAUGCUUUUUGAUGUCCGAUUCGUGGUUUCAGAUUUAUUUUGGAAUUUUGAUGCGAGCAUGUUCGUAUGAUAUUUUUAGAUUUGUGUGGAUGUUUGGUAUGGAGGCCCGAGGACUCGGGUGAGUUUCUAACAUUUUCGGAAUUGUUUGAAUUCAUUUCAAGUUGUUGGUGUGCUUGUUCUCCAGUCAUCGCAAUUGCGGGCACCAACAUCGCAUUUGCGAUCAUGGCAGAGGGGUAUCUGGUAUCGUAUUUGCGUCACCAUGAUCAUGUUUGCGAAAGCAAACGUGGGCUGGGUAAGGUCGCAUUUGCGAAAGGGGCUAACUUCACAUUUGCGAGGUCUGUGUCGCAAUUGCGACAUUUCUCUAGGCUGUCAGGCGCCUCAAUUGUGAGUGGUUGUCCGCAUUUGCUAGUAUUCGCAAUUGCAAACCCAGAGUCGCAAUUAUUGUUGACACUUAAUUUGACCCUCCAUAUGUAAAAUUAACUUUCGCAGGCUUCCUGGUCAUUAAAUAGUAAAAUAUAACAUUUUUGCACAUUUUUAACUUUAAUGCAAUUUAUGAAAAUAAUUUCCUUUUGAAUUUCAUGCUUUUUGAUGUCCGAUUCAUGAUUUCAGAUUUAUUUUGGUAUUUUGAUGCGAGCAAGUUCGUAUG